AUUCUGGAUGAGAGAUAUAUAGCUGAUUAAUUACAGUUAGUAUUUGAGGUUCAACUCUUCGAUAAAAUGUUCCAAAGAAGUGCAUUACACAUUCAUAGGUAUUGUGAUACAUGUGACAUGAUAUAUGGGUCCCUUAGAUCCACAACACCAAGGGUGGACUCUAUGUAUUAGGUGAGAUGUUGGAAGUGAAGGGGCUUGAACACAGUGGUAUUUCGGUCAUUUUGUAUUUUGGCAGGGAUAUUGAGGUAUCCAAACCUAUGUGACACCUUAAGACAUCUCUUAUGAUGUUAAUAUGAUGUCUUAGUAAUGGUGCAAGCAGUGGGUGAAGGCUCUGUAUGGUUAAAAUGAAGAUUUCAUAGGUUCAUGCAUUGACAUCAUGUUCGGGGGUAUUAUUGUAAAUUCAAUUGGCAUAUUUAGAAGGAGACAUGCACAUGAAAGUUGUAGAUCUUUGAGUCAUGCGUCUAAUGCAAUUGGAAUCAUAUCGAUCCGAUAUCGUAGUAAAAAUUUAUGACAAUUUUCAGUCAGUGCAUAAGUUGAAAAGACAGUGACCUACACAUCAUUCGGGUUCAAGCCCGUUUUUGGGAUCUGCGCACUGCACCUGGGUUGAUGGUGUCUUCGUAAAAACUUAGCCUUUCGAGUCUUUUGUACGUAGGAAAAAUGAUGUGGAUCCGGGUUCUAAAAGACUGAAAUCGGAUCACUUAUGGGCCCACGAAAAACAAAUAUUUCAAUCUAGGCAAACCAGGGGCCAUAUUGUAAAUUCUGGUACAAUUUAAGAGCUUUUUAGAUUGAAAUAACUAAGGACUUAAUAGGAAUUAAACCCAAAGAAAAGAGCAGUUCUGAAAAUAAAAAAAUAGUAGUGGGGUUAAAUUGAAAUAAAAUCCAAAAUGAAGGUUAUUUAUGAGAACAUCAGAGAAUAGGAUCUAAUUGUAAAUAAGGAGAAAUACCAUCAGCGACCUUAUGUAACCUUAAGGACACAGACACGAUAGAACCAGCAGAAGCGGUGUUGGUUUCGAACAGCAAAACUCACUCAGUUGGAAUCCAUGCGAAGCGAAACUUUGGAAGAGAGAUUGGAAGUCAGUUGGCUAUUGAUUCCAACCAAUAUCAGAUCGGAAGAAGCUGUGACAACCUCGGGAAGAAAUUCGCAACCUGAAUCAGGCGGAGAACCAGAUCUGAUUUCUGGUUUUCAGAUUUGUCUUCUACUAACUUGCAGGAGCUUGGGAUAAACUGCAGGGACUUGUUUGUCUCUGAGAACCCUACCCUCGACCCAAAACCUCAGGGCCACUCGAUGGGAGACCAGUUUUCAGAGACAAGUCUUCGGUUCUGGUAGGUAUUGCCUAGAACAGGGGAAAAAAGAAAAAAAACAGAAAAACAAUGAAGAUAUGAAGAAGAAGAUGAAGAAGUAAUAAUAGAAAGGAAGGUUAAAGAAGAAAAGAGACUAUUAGAAAGGUUAAAACAAAGCACCCACGGCAGCCAUUGUUCAUGGUUCUCACCCAAAAA
Long non-coding RNA from Macadamia integrifolia, 1497 nucleotides. RefSeq lists it as uncharacterized. The transcript has 2 exons. NCBI's taxonomy places the organism in Eukaryota, Viridiplantae, Streptophyta, Magnoliopsida, Proteales, Proteaceae. The record is from RefSeq and is a predicted model, not a curated record.